Molecule: transfer RNA, 85 nt
Filed under: Clostridia bacterium
Lineage: Bacteria; Bacillati; Bacillota; Clostridia
Description: tRNA-Leu
Rfam family: tRNA
About the family: Transfer RNA (tRNA) molecules are approximately 80 nucleotides in length. Their secondary structure includes four short double-helical elements and three loops (D, anti-codon, and T loops).
Source: RNAcentral
GCGGGAGUGGCGGAACAGGCAGACGCGCACGUUUGAGGGGCGUGUGGUUAACACCGUACGAGUUCAAGUCUCGUUUCCCGCACCA